ACGGGUGAGGAAUACGUCGGAAUCUGCCUAUUUGUGGGGGAUAACGUAGGGAAACUUACGCUAAUACCGCAUACGACCUUAGGGUGAAAGCGGAGGACCUUCGGGCUUCGCGCAGAUAGAUGAGCCGACGUCGGAUUAGCUAGUUGGCGGGGUAAAGGCCCACCAAGGCGACGAUCCGUAGCUGGUCUGAGAGGAUGAUCAGCCACACUGGAACUGAGACACGGUCCAGACUCCUACGGGAGGCAGCAGUGGGGAAUAUUGGACAAUGGGCGCAAGCCUGAUCCAGCCAUGCCGCGUGUGUGAAGAAGGCCUUCGGGUUGUAAAGCACUUUUGUCCGGAAAGAAAAGCUUCGGGCUAAUACCCCGGGGUCAUGACGGUACCGGAAGAAUAAGCACCGGCUAACUUCGUGCCAGCAGCCGCGGUAAUACGAAGGGUGCAAGCGUUACUCGGAAUUACUGGGCGUAAAGCGUGCGUAGGUGGUUAGUUAAGUCUGAUGUGAAAGCCCCGGGCUCAACCUGGGAAUUGCAUUGGAUACUGGCAGGCUAGAGUGCGGUAGAGGAUGGCGGAAUUCCCGGUGUA
RNAcentral lists this ribosomal RNA (579 nucleotides) under uncultured Lysobacter sp. RNAcentral describes it as "bacterial SSU rRNA". It matches the Rfam family "Bacterial small subunit ribosomal RNA", at positions 102 to 677 of the family's 1533-position model. The record is from RNAcentral. Lineage: Bacteria; Pseudomonadati; Pseudomonadota; Gammaproteobacteria; Lysobacterales; Lysobacteraceae.